RNAcentral lists this ribosomal RNA (639 nucleotides) under uncultured bacterium. RNAcentral's name for it is "bacterial SSU rRNA". It matches the Rfam family "Bacterial small subunit ribosomal RNA", at positions 232 to 885 of the family's 1533-position model. The record is from RNAcentral.
CGCGGCCUAUCAGCUUGUUGGUGAGGUAAAGGCUCACCAAGGCAUUGACGGGUAGCUGGUCUGAGAGGACGAUCAGCCACACUGGGACUGAGACACGGCCCAGACUCCUGCGGGAGGCAGCAGUGGGGAAUCUUGCGCAAUGGGCGAAAGCCUGACGCAGCAACGCCGCGUGGGGGAUGAAGGCUCUCGGGUUGUAAACCCCUUCCAGCAGGGACGAAAUUGACGGUACCUGUAGAAGAAGCCCCGGCCAACUACGUGCCAGCAGCCGCGGUAACACGUAGGGGGCAAGCGUUGUCCGGAAUUAUUGGGCGUAAAGGGCUCGUAGGCGGUUCGGUAAGUCAGAUGUGAAAGGUUGGGGCUCAACCCUAAGACUGCAUUUGAUACUGCCGUGACUGGAGUCCGGUAGAGGAGUGUGGAAUUCCUGGUGUAGCGGUGAAAUGCGCAGAUAUCAGGAGGAACACCGACGGCGAAGGCAGCACUCUGGGCCGGUACUGACGCUGAGGAGCGAAAGCGUGGGUAGCAAACAGGAUUAGAUACCCUGGUAGUCCACGCCGUAAACGUUGGGCACUAGGUGUGGGGCCUUAUCAACGGGUUCCGUGCCGUAGCUAACGCAUUAAGUGCCCCGCCUGGGGAGUACGG